RNAcentral lists this ribosomal RNA (497 nucleotides) under uncultured bacterium. RNAcentral describes it as "partial 16S ribosomal RNA". It matches the Rfam family "Bacterial small subunit ribosomal RNA", at positions 28 to 507 of the family's 1533-position model. The record is from RNAcentral.
GAGGAAAGAGGGAGGAGGGAAGAAUACAGGAAAGUCGAGCGAACAGACGAGGAGCUUGCUCCUCUGACGUUAGCGGCGGACGGGUGAGUAACACGUGGAUAAAAUACCUAUAAGACUGGGAUAACUUCGGGAAACCGGAGCUAAUACCGGAUAAUAUAUUGAACCGCAUGGUUCAAUAGUGAAAGACGGUUUUGCUGUCACUUAUAGAUGGAUCCGCGCCGCAUUAGCUAGUUGGUAAGGUAACGGCUUACCAAGGCAACGAUGCGUAGCCGACCUGAGAGGGUGAUCGGCCACACUGGAACUGAGACACGGUCCAGACUCCUACGGGAGGCAGCAGUAGGGAAUCUUCCGCAAUGGGCGAAAGCCUGACGGAGCAACGCCGCGUGAGUGAUGAAGGUCUUCGGAUCGUAAAACUCUGUUAUUAGGGAAGAACAAAUGUGUAAGUAACUAUGCACGUCUUGACGGUACCUAAUCAGAAAGCCCCGGCUAACUACGUC